Molecule: long non-coding RNA, 587 nt
Filed under: Malus domestica (apple)
Lineage: Eukaryota; Viridiplantae; Streptophyta; Magnoliopsida; Rosales; Rosaceae
Description: long non-coding RNA (MDOM_LNC008092)
Source: RNAcentral
AAGACUAGAGCAAACGAAGAACAACAUCUUUGAAAGAAUGGCUUCCAUCAACUUUGUAGGUCUAGCAAGACUCCUUGUCGUGGGACUUUUCUGCACUGCUUUGAUUCUUCUGAUGAGUUCAGGUAUUUUAUCCUUUGUUUGAAUUGUGUUCUUGCCAUAAUAAAUAUGUUCUAGUGAUGGCAUAUAAAUAAACUUUGCAAUACAAAUUCUACAUGUACCACAUUUACUUAUCACAUAAUAGUAAUGCUGUGUAAAUAAUAUAUAUUUCGUAUUUGCAGGAUAUGAGUCUGCACAAUUAUAUCCACACUAUUCUAUAUGGGGACCAUGCGCAACCUAUAAAGAUUGCAAUGCGAUGUGCAUCAAUACUGUAGGCCGAAAACAGGGUGGAUUUUGUGGCAUUGAUCCUUCAGAUAAGCACUGCGAUUGUAUAUGCAGAGAUGACGGACCGCCGACAGAGAUCCCACUACCAGCACCUUGUAAACCCUAAUGUCUAUAUAAAACUCACAACUUUUUGUUGAGUUAUUCUAAAUAAAACUCACGACUUUCUGUUGAGUUAGCUUCAAUAAAAUAUUCGCAAUUGAUUGUCG